ACUGCAUUUAAAUGCUUCUUUUAUUGCCAUAGCGAGACCCGUGGAGGCUGAUGAUCUGCUUCGAGAAAGAGGACACCAGCUCCAUCACAGCACACGGCAGGAGUUCAGACAGCAGCCCAGAGCUUCAGCACACUACCAGCACGGUUAUAGACCAAGACAUCCAAAGAGAGGAAGGUAUCACCUCGCACCACGAUGGCCCCAGUCUCAAAACUAAACAACACUGACUGAUGAGAAAUGAAUUACUAGGCUCUUGUGGAAACAAUUGUCACCCACAGAACAAAGCAUUUCAUUCUCAGAUGUGAAUGUUCAUGUCCAUGUUCCUGCUUGCCU
RNAcentral lists this long non-coding RNA (330 nucleotides) under Sinocyclocheilus grahami. RNAcentral's name for it is "lncRNA (ENSSGRG00000024842.1)". Lineage: Eukaryota; Metazoa; Chordata; Actinopteri; Cypriniformes; Cyprinidae. The record is from RNAcentral.